RNAcentral lists this non-coding RNA (116 nucleotides) under marine eukaryotic metagenome. RNAcentral describes it as "Moco (molybdenum cofactor) riboswitch". It matches the Rfam family "Molybdenum/Tungsten riboswitch aptamer (Moco RNA motif)", at positions 7 to 125 of the family's 135-position model. The record is from RNAcentral.
AAAAAUUGCUCCGAGCCGAAGAGCCUGUGUCCCUGUCUGCGGGGAUAUGGCCCGAGGCCGACAGGGUAAGACUGGAAACGGUCUUGCCUCCCGUGUUUGGAAAGGAGUUUUCUGAU